UCAUCUUCUCCAGCCUUAUCCCGCCGCCGCUCUGCUUCUGAAGAAAGAAAAAUCAGGCCGCCGUUCCCUCGUCCUCCUUAUCUCCUAUGCGCACAGGGUCCUUAUCCGGUGGUCGUCGCCCAGUUCCCAUCGUCUUCCCCAGCAGCGCUUGACCGCCCUCCCUGUUCGCCCAUCAUUUCCUCCUCUCCAGCCGCCUAACCGCCCUCUGGGGUUUUUUUAGCCGCCGCCCGCUGUUCUUUUUAUACGCACGCAGCCUUCUUCAACCUCCAGCGCUGUGUCCGGUUCCCUACACUGCCGAGCGGCUCGCCGGACUGCGCCGCAACUCCCUCUCCUGCUUCUCUCUUGCGGCCCUCUCCUUCUCCCUCUGCUUGACCGCGUCCCCCAUGGCGCUCGGUCGCCCGACCACCGAUUCCUCCUCCCUGCGCGCAGGAUCCUCCUCGGCUUCAUCUCCCUGCUUCCUGUUCCAGCUCCUGCGCUCCCAGAUUUUUCUCCUGCGCGUUUCUCUCUCGCGCGGAUCUCUCUCCUCCCCGGCGUUUCUCUCUGUUGCUCCACGCCAUGGCAUCUCCCUGCUCGCUCGCGCUCUGCCAAGCUUGCCCCUGCGCGCGCUCUGCUCACCAUUCCAAGCUCGCCUUGCUCCCUGCUGCUCGCCCGGUCGAGCUCCCUGACCGCCGCGCCGUGAAUUUUCCUGCGGGCGCAUGUCUCCUUGUGCACGCGUCGCCGUCGAGUUCUCUAGUGUUUACGUACCAUGAAGUUCCUCCAGCGUCGUGGCUUCCCAAUUCCUUCUAGUCGCACGCGCGAAUUUUCUUUGCUCGGCUUUAACUCCCAAUCGCGUCGUCGAUCUCGUCGUUUGCCGUCGAGUCGUCAAACACGUCAUCCCCGGCUCGAUCCUCACCUCACCAGCUUAUCCCAGACUUCAAUCGAAGGUCGUCGUCGUUCGUGCAUCCCCAAGAAAACCUAAGAAUCGGGUGAAGACGAAGUUAGCAGCGCGAUUUUUCCCAAGCGCUCAACCAAUUGCCUCGAUCGGAAAAUCGCUACCGAUCUCGCGGAUUCGAGUUAGCUGUUGAAACGGUACGUUAAUUAAUCGCGCGAUGCGGAAGACGAGCCAAGUCGACCUCAAGUGCGGGCUAAUCCGCAGGAUGAUGCUGAUGGACGAACCGGAAGAUGGAUAAUCUGAACAAUGCCAACACAAAAGGCUGAUCGUCAAGUGGUCGUCGUCUAACAACACUAACCUAGUGUUACCCAGGCAAGCCCCGGUGCAUUUUCCACCUCCUUGCUAUUUUAAAAUCUUUUAUCACCUUGUUUGAUACAUUAGGUGAUAGGAGUUGUGUGUUAAACCGUUGAUGCAUUUCCUUCCUUGAAAAUUGAUUACCCUUCCUUGA
Molecule: long non-coding RNA, 1379 nt
Organism: Zea mays
Lineage: Eukaryota; Viridiplantae; Streptophyta; Magnoliopsida; Poales; Poaceae
Exons: 2
Source: RefSeq, a predicted model, not a curated record